This 440-nucleotide ribosomal RNA is filed under the name uncultured bacterium. RNAcentral describes it as "partial 16S ribosomal RNA". It matches the Rfam family "Bacterial small subunit ribosomal RNA", at positions 338 to 795 of the family's 1533-position model. The record is from RNAcentral.
CCUUCGGGAGGCAGCAGUGGGGAAUAUUGCACAAUGGGGGGAACCCUGAUGCAGCGACGCCGCGUGGGUGAGGAAGUACUUCGGUAUGUAAAGCCCUAUCAGUAGGGAAGAAAAUGACGGUACCUGACUAAGAAGCCCCGGCUAACUACGUGCCAGCAGCCGCGGUAAUACGGAGGGGGCAAGCGUAAUCCGGAUUUACUGGGUGUAACGGGAGCGUAGACGGCGUGCCAAGUGUGGUGUGAAAGGCCGGGGCUCAACCCCGGGACUGCAUGUGCAACUGGCAUGCUGGAGUGCCGGAGGGGCAAGCGGAAUUCGUGGUGUAGCGGUGAAAUGCGUAGAUAUUAGGAGGAACACCGGUGGCGAAGGCGGCUUGCUGGACGGUAACUGACGUUGAGGCUCGAAAGCGUGGGGAGCGAACAGGAUUAGAUACCCGAGUAGUC